Sapajus apella (tufted capuchin) is the source of this 380-nucleotide non-coding RNA. The record is from the annotation of a RefSeq genome assembly. Lineage: Eukaryota; Metazoa; Chordata; Mammalia; Primates; Cebidae.
GCCGGGAGCUCCCAGGUGGACACCAGGACUCUGACCUUCUGCCCUUUGCCCCUCUCCCAGGUCAGCCCAAGGCCACCCCCACGGUCACUGUGUUCCCGCCCUCCUCUGAGGAGCUCCAAGCCAACAAGGCCACAUUGGUGUGCCUCAUAAGUGACUUCUACCCGGGAGCCGUGACAGUGGACUGGAAGGCAGAUGGCAACACUGUCAGGGAUGGAGUGGAGACCACCCAACCCUCCAAACAGAGCAACAACAAGUACGCGGCCAGCAGCUACCUGAGCCUCACGCCGCAGCAGUGGAAGUCCCGCAGCAGCUACAGCUGCCACGUCACGCACGAGGGGAAAACCGUGGAGAAGACAGUGGCCCCUUCAGGAUGUUCUUAG